RNAcentral lists this ribosomal RNA (515 nucleotides) under uncultured bacterium. Its description in RNAcentral is "partial 16S ribosomal RNA". It matches the Rfam family "Bacterial small subunit ribosomal RNA", at positions 28 to 523 of the family's 1533-position model. The record is from RNAcentral.
GAUGAACGCUGGCGGCGUGCCUAAUACAUGCAAGUCGAGCGAAUGGAUUAAGAGCUUGCUCUUAUGAAGUUAGCGGCGGACGGGUGAGUAACACGUGGGUAACCUGCCCAUAAGACUGGGAUAACUCCGGGAAACCGGGGCUAAUACCGGAUAACAUUUUGAGCCGCAUGGUUCGAAAUUGAAAGGCGGCUUCGGCUGUCACUGAGGGAUGGACCCGCGUCGCAUUCGCUAGUUGGGGAGGUAACGGCUCACCAAGGCAACGAUGCGUAGCCGACCUGAGAGGGUGAUCGGCCAAACUGGGACUGAGACACGGCCCAGACUCCUACGGGAGGCAGCAGUAGGGAAUCUUCCGCAAUGGACGAAAGUCUGACGGAGCAACGCCGCGUGAGUGAUGAAGGCUUUCGGGUCGUAAAACUCUGUUGUUAGGGAAGAACAAGUGCUAGUUGAAUAAGCUGGCACCUUGACGGUACCUAACCAGAAAGCCACGGCUAACUACGUGCCAGCAGCCGCCGUAA